UGCGGGAUAGAGCAGGGGUAGCUCGUUGGGCUCAUAACCCAAAGGUCGGAAGUUCGAAUCUUCCUCCCGCUACCA
This 75-nucleotide transfer RNA is filed under the name Sediminibacterium sp. RNAcentral's name for it is "tRNA-Met". It matches the Rfam family "tRNA". From Rfam's summary of the family: Transfer RNA (tRNA) molecules are approximately 80 nucleotides in length. RNAcentral also lists the same sequence under 2 other names. Lineage: Bacteria; Pseudomonadati; Bacteroidota; Chitinophagia; Chitinophagales; Chitinophagaceae. The record is from RNAcentral.